Molecule: ribosomal RNA, 468 nt
Filed under: uncultured bacterium
Lineage: Bacteria
Description: partial 16S ribosomal RNA
Rfam family: Bacterial small subunit ribosomal RNA
Source: RNAcentral
GACGAACGCUGGCGGCGUGCUUAACACAUGCAAGUCGAACGGAAAGGCCCUGCUUUUGUGGGGUUCUCGUGUGGCGAACGGGUGAGUGACACGUGAGUAACCUGCCCUUGACUUUGGGAUAACUUCAGGAAACUGGGGAUAAUACCGGAUAGGAGCUCCUGCUGCACGGUGGGGGUUGGUAAGUUUCGGUCGUUGGGGCUGGACUCGCGGCUUAUCAGCUUGUUGGUGGGGUAGUGGCUUACCAGGGCUUCGACGGGUAGCCGGCCUGAGAGGUUGACCGGCCACAUUGGGACUGAGAGACGGCCCAGACUCCUACGGGAGGCAGCAGUGGAGAAUAUUGCACAAUGGGCGGAAGCCUGAUGCAGCAGCGUCGCGUGCGGGAUGACGGCCUUCGGGUUGUAAACCGAUUUCGCCUGUGACGAAGCGUGCGUGACGGUAAUGGGUAAAGAAGCACCGGCUAACUACGUG